CACGUGAUUUGUACGCCAUUUCAAUUCUUCGCGGGCGUGGAAGCUGGAAAAAUGUAGCUGUCGGCACAACUGCACAAGUCCAACAUGAGACUCUCAGCAGAAGUUAAGAAAGCUGUCAUCAGAACCGGUGUUGCAGACUUCAAGACAGCUCUUAAGUAGAUGAAAGGAGACAAGAUUUGCAUCUUAGUUGAUAUGAAGCAAGAUUGAAGCAAGCGCCAAUCAACCAACCAUCAGCCAGCCAGCCAGCCAGCCAGCCUGCAAGC
Long non-coding RNA from Patiria miniata (bat star), 263 nucleotides. RefSeq lists it as uncharacterized. The record is from RefSeq and is a predicted model, not a curated record. The transcript is spliced from 3 exons. NCBI's taxonomy places the organism in Eukaryota, Metazoa, Echinodermata, Asteroidea, Valvatida, Asterinidae.